AUUGAACGCUAGCGGGAUGCUUUACACAUGCAAGUCGAACGAGUGGCGGACGGGUGAGUAAUAUAUCGGACUGUGCCCAGUAGCGGGGGAUAACUACUCGAAAGAGUGGCUAAUACCGCCUACUAUUGGAGCGGCCGAUAUCGGAUUAGCUAGUUGGUGGGGAAAAGGAUCACGAAGGCAACUAUCCGUAGCGUGUUUGAGAGGACGACCAGCCACACUGGGACUGAGACACGGCCCAGACUCCUACGGGAGGCAGCAGUGGUGAAUUUUGGACAAUGGGGGAAACCCUGAUCCAGCCAUCCCGGGUGUAUGAGAAGGCCUUCGGGUUGUAAAGUACUUUUGGCAGAGAAGCGGUAUCUGCAGAAUAAGCACCGGCUAACUACGUGCCAGCAGCCGAGGUAAUA
Molecule: ribosomal RNA, 404 nt
Filed under: uncultured bacterium
Lineage: Bacteria
Description: partial 16S ribosomal RNA
Rfam family: Bacterial small subunit ribosomal RNA
Source: RNAcentral